CCUACGGGCGGCAGCAGUGAGGAAUAUUGGUCAAUGGACGAGAGUCUGAACCAGCCAAGUAGCGUGAAGGAUGACUGCCCUAUGGGUUGUAAACUUCUUUUAUAUGGGAAUAAAACGUUCCACGUGUGGGAUUUUGUAUGUACCAUAAGAAUAAGGCUCGGCUAACUCCGUGCCAGCAGCCGCGGUAAUACGGAGGAUCCGAGCGUUAUCCGGAUUUAUUGGGUUUAAAGGGAGCGUAGGUGGAUUGUUAAGUCAGUUGUGAAAGUUUGCGGCUCAACCGUAAAAUUGCAGUUGAAACUGGCAGUCUUGAGUACAGUAGAGGUGGGCGGAAUUCGUGGUGUAGCGGUGAAAUGCUUAGAUAUCACGAAGAACUCCGAUUGCGAAGGCAGUUCACUGGACUGCAACUGACACUGAGGCUCGAAAGUGUGGGUAUCAAACAGGAUUAGAUACCCUUGUAGUC
This 460-nucleotide ribosomal RNA is filed under the name uncultured bacterium. Its description in RNAcentral is "partial 16S ribosomal RNA". It matches the Rfam family "Bacterial small subunit ribosomal RNA", at positions 338 to 795 of the family's 1533-position model. The record is from RNAcentral.